AGUAUAUAUAUUUAUAUUUGGCCUGAAUUUGUGGGAGGAGUUAUGAUCCUAUAUAAACCCUACCCCCCUACUUACCUUUGUCGUGCAAGCUGUUUGUCGUCUCCAUAGUUACCUGCACUUCCGGUUCGUCGUUCCCGCCAAGUCCUGUCUCAAGCUGUCUCCAGCAAGCAGUCCGUCGCCAGCAGCUCCUGCCUACGUCUUCCGUGCCCGUCCACCGGCUUCUACCCGACAUCCG
Molecule: long non-coding RNA, 235 nt
Filed under: Pelobates cultripes (western spadefoot toad)
Lineage: Eukaryota; Metazoa; Chordata; Amphibia; Anura; Pelobatidae
Source: RNAcentral